AUUGAACGCUGGCGGCAUGCCUUACACAUGCAAGUCGAACGGCAGCACGGGUGCUUGCACCUGGUGGCGAGUGGCGAACGGGUGAGUAAUACAUCGGAACAUGUCCUGUAGUGGGGGAUAGCCCGGCGAAAGUCGGAUUAAUACCGCAUACGAUCUACGGAUGAAAGCGGGGGACCUUCGGGCCUCGCGCUAUAGGGUUGGCCGAUAGCUGAUUAGCUAGUUGGUGGGGUAAAGGCCUACCAAGGCGACGAUCAGUAGCUGGUCUGAGAGGACGACCAGCCACACUGGGACUGAGACACGGCCCAGACUCCUACGGGAGGCAGCAGUGGGGAAUUUUGGACAAUGGGCGAAAGCCUGAUCCAGCAAUGCCGCGUGUGUGAAGAAGGCCUUCGGGUUGUAAAGCACUUUUGUCCGGAAAGAAAUCCUUGGCUCUAAUACAGUCGGGGGAUGACGGUACCGGAAGAAUAAGCACCGGCUAACUACGUG
This 486-nucleotide ribosomal RNA is filed under the name uncultured bacterium. Its description in RNAcentral is "partial 16S ribosomal RNA". It matches the Rfam family "Bacterial small subunit ribosomal RNA", at positions 30 to 507 of the family's 1533-position model. The record is from RNAcentral.